RNAcentral lists this ribosomal RNA (419 nucleotides) under uncultured bacterium. Its description in RNAcentral is "bacterial SSU rRNA". It matches the Rfam family "Bacterial small subunit ribosomal RNA", at positions 772 to 1196 of the family's 1533-position model. The record is from RNAcentral.
ACCGAAUAGAUACCCAGGUAGUCCACGCCGUAAACUAUGAACGCUAGCCGUUGGCGAGCUUGCUCGUCAGUGGCGCAGCUAACGCAUUAAGCGUUCCGCCUGGGGAGUACGGCCGCAAGGCUGAAACUCAAAGAAAUUGACGGGGGCCCGCACAAGCGGUGGAGCAUGUGGUUUAAUUCGACGCAACGCGCAGAACCUUACCAGGGUUUGACAUCCCGAGACCGCUGCUGAAAGGCAGUUUCCCGCAAGGGCUCGGAGACAGGUGCUGCAUGGCUGUCGUCAGCUCGUGUCGUGAGAUGUUGGGUUAAGUCCCGCAACGAGCGCAACCCUCGCCUUUAGUUGCCAUCAUUAAGUUGGGCACUCUAGAGGGACCGCCGGCGACAAGCCGGAGGAAGGUGGGGAUGACGUCAAGUCCUCAU